RNAcentral lists this ribosomal RNA (457 nucleotides) under uncultured bacterium. RNAcentral describes it as "bacterial SSU rRNA". It matches the Rfam family "Bacterial small subunit ribosomal RNA", at positions 340 to 786 of the family's 1533-position model. The record is from RNAcentral.
UACGGAAGGCAGCAGUGGGGAAUAUUGCACAAUGGGCGAAAGCCUGAUGCAGCUAUGCCGCGUGUAUGAAGAAGGCCUUUAGGGUUGUAAAGUACUUUCAUCGGGGAGGAAAAAACAAAACUAAUAAUUUUAUUUCUUGACGUUACCCGAAAAAGAAGCACCGGCUAACUCCGUGCCAGCAGCCGCGGUAAUACGGAGGGUGCUAGCGUUAAUCAGAAUUACUGGGCGUAAAGAGCACGUAGGUGGUUUUUUUAAGUCAGAUGUGAAAUCCCUGGGCUUAACCUGGAACUGCAUUUUGAAACUGAAAUACUAGAGUAUCGUAGAGGGAGGUAGAAUUCUAGGUGUAGCGGUGAAAUGCGUAGAUAUCUGGAGGAAUACCUGUGGCGAAAGCGGCCUCCUAAACGAAUACUGACACUGAGGGUGCGAAAGCGUGGGGAGCAAACAGGGAUUAGAUACC